Small nuclear RNA from Dipodomys spectabilis (banner-tailed kangaroo rat), 107 nucleotides. The record is from RefSeq and is a predicted model, not a curated record. Lineage: Eukaryota; Metazoa; Chordata; Mammalia; Rodentia; Heteromyidae.
GUGCUCAAUUUGGCUGCACAUAUACUAAAAUUGGAACAUACAGAGAAGAUUAACUUGGUCCCUGCACAAGGAUGAAUAGUUAAAUAUGUUUACACCAACAGAUGCUG